RNAcentral lists this ribosomal RNA (253 nucleotides) under uncultured bacterium. Its description in RNAcentral is "partial 16S ribosomal RNA". It matches the Rfam family "Bacterial small subunit ribosomal RNA", at positions 524 to 776 of the family's 1533-position model. The record is from RNAcentral.
UACGUAGGGUGCAGGCGUUAAUCGGAAUUACUGGGCGUAAAGCGUGCGCAGGCGGCUUUGCAGGACAGAUGUGAAAUCCCCGGGCUUAACCUGGGAACUGCAUUUGUGACUGCAUGGCUGGAGUGCGGCAGAGGGGGAUGGAAUUCCGCGUGUAGCAGUGAAAUGCGUAGAUAUGCGGAGGAACACCGAUGGCGAAGGCAAUCCCCUGGGCCUGCACUGACGCUCAUGCACGAAAGCGUGGGGAGCAAACAGG